This 439-nucleotide ribosomal RNA is filed under the name uncultured bacterium. Its description in RNAcentral is "partial 16S ribosomal RNA". It matches the Rfam family "Bacterial small subunit ribosomal RNA", at positions 338 to 795 of the family's 1533-position model. The record is from RNAcentral.
CCUACGGGAGGCAGCAGUAGGGAAUUUUGCGCAAUGGGCGAAAGCCUGACGCAGCAACGCCGCGUGAUCGAGACGCCCUUCGGGGUGUAAAGAUCUGUCAGUGGGGACGAAACUUGACGGUACCCACAGAGGAAGCACCGGCUAACUCCGUGCCAGCAGCCGCGGUAAUACGGAGGAUGCGAGCGUUAUCCGGAUUUCUUGGGUUUAAAGGGUGCGCAGGCGGCGAGUUAAGUCAGCGGUAAAAUUUCGGGGCUCAACCCCGACAAGCCGUUGAAACUGGCUUGCUAGAGUGGGCGAGAAGUAUGCGGAAUGCGUGGUGUAGCGGUGAAAUGCAUAGAUAUCACGCAGAACUCCGAUUGCGAAGGCAGCAUACCGGCGCCCAACUGACGCUCAGGCACGAAAGCGUGGGUAUCGAACAGGAUUAGAUACCCUGGUAGUC